AAACAACUCUUAAAACUUUCAACAACGGAUCAUCUUGGUUCUGGCAUCGAUGAAGAACGCAGCGAAAUGCGAUAAGUAAUGUGAAUUGCAGAAUUCAGUGAAUCAUCGA
This 109-nucleotide ribosomal RNA is filed under the name Rhytidium rugosum. Its description in RNAcentral is "5.8S ribosomal RNA". The stretch from base 14 to 109 matches the Rfam family "5.8S ribosomal RNA", at positions 1 to 95 of the family's 154-position model. From Rfam's summary of the family: 5.8S ribosomal RNA (5.8S rRNA) is a component of the large subunit of the eukaryotic ribosome. It is transcribed by RNA polymerase I as part of the 45S precursor that also contains 18S and 28S rRNA. The record is from RNAcentral. Lineage: Eukaryota; Viridiplantae; Streptophyta; Bryopsida; Hypnales; Rhytidiaceae.